RNAcentral lists this small RNA (99 nucleotides) under Klebsiella pneumoniae. Its description in RNAcentral is "RtT sRNA". It matches the Rfam family "RtT RNA", at positions 34 to 130 of the family's 130-position model. Rfam says of the family: This family represents a bacterial cis-regulatory element known as RtT RNA. The exact function of RtT is unknown although it is thought that it may be involved in changing the cellular response in relation to amino acid starvation. Lineage: Bacteria; Pseudomonadati; Pseudomonadota; Gammaproteobacteria; Enterobacterales; Enterobacteriaceae. The record is from RNAcentral. RNAcentral also lists the same sequence under 1 other name.
GACUAAGGUUCGACUCGAGCGAAGCGAGAGAACGUUGCCGCAGGCAACGGCCCGAAGGGCGAGGCGCUUUAGCGCCGAGUAAUCCUUCCCCCACCACCA